AUUGAACGCUGGCGGCAGGCCUAACACAUGCAAGUCGAGCGGAUGAAGGGAGCUUGCUCCUGGAUUCAGCGGCGGACGGGUGAGUAAUGCCUAGGAAUCUGCCUGGUAGUGGGGGAUAACGUCCGGAAACGGGCGCUAAUACCGCAUACGUCCUGAGGGAGAAAGUGGGGGUCUUCCGGCCUCCAGCUUUCAGGUUAGCCUUAGGUCGGAUUAGCUAGUUGGUGGGGUAAAGGCCUACCAAGGCGACGAUCCGUAACUGGUCUGAGAGGAUGAUCAGUCACACUGGAACUGAGACACGGUCCAGACUCCUACGGGAGGCAGCAGUGGGGAAUAUUGGACAAUGGGCGAAAGCCUGAUCCAGCCAUGCCGCGUGUGUGAAGAAGGUCUUCGGAUUGUAAAGCACUUUAAGUUGGGAGGAAGGGCAGUAAGUUAAUACCUUGCUGUUUUGACGUUACCAACAGAAUAAGCACCGGCUAACUUCGUG
This 484-nucleotide ribosomal RNA is filed under the name uncultured bacterium. RNAcentral describes it as "partial 16S ribosomal RNA". It matches the Rfam family "Bacterial small subunit ribosomal RNA", at positions 30 to 507 of the family's 1533-position model. The record is from RNAcentral.